ACUUCUUAACAGUCUCAUAGACAAUCACUAGUUCAUCCCUAGCAUCAUAUAACCACACGUUACACAGCCUCUCACUAACCGAGCCUUCACGGCUCCUUGGCUUGACCAGAACCAUCCUUAGUUCCUGAAACCACAACCAGAUAAGCAUUAAUCAUAACCAAGAAUAGAACGGAUUGAUUCUACAAUGCUUGGCUUGGUUCCUAGAACUUAGAUAAACCUUAGUC
Molecule: long non-coding RNA, 224 nt
Filed under: Brassica napus (rape)
Lineage: Eukaryota; Viridiplantae; Streptophyta; Magnoliopsida; Brassicales; Brassicaceae
Description: long non-coding RNA (BNAP_LNC013250)
Source: RNAcentral